UGGGGAAUAUUGGACAAUGGGCGCAAGCCUGAUCCAGCCAUGCCGCGUGUGUGAAGAAGGCCUUUUGGUUGUAAAGCACUUUAAGCGAGGAGGAGGCUACUUGGAUUAAUACUCUAGGAUAGUGGACGUUACUCGCAGAAUAAGCACCGGCUAACUCUGUGCCAGCAGCCGCGGUAAUACAGAGGGUGCGAGCGUUAAUCGGAUUUACUGGGCGUAAAGCGUGCGUAGGCGGCUUCUUAAGUCGGAUGUGAAAUCCCUGAGCUUAACUCAGGAAUUGCAUUCGAUACUGGGAAGCUAGAGUAUGGGAGAGGAUGGUAGAAUUCCAGGUGUAGCGGUGAAAUGCGUAGAGAUCUGGAGGAAUACCGAUGGCGAAGGCAGCCAUCUGGCCUAAUACUGACGCUGAGGUACGAAAGCAUGGGGAGCAAACAGG
Molecule: ribosomal RNA, 430 nt
Filed under: bacterium
Lineage: Bacteria
Also listed under: 1 other name
Description: partial 16S ribosomal RNA
Rfam family: Bacterial small subunit ribosomal RNA
Source: RNAcentral